UUUUUUUUAGCAUACCGAGGUCCUCUAACGUAUUUUUUCACAAGGAUAUGUAUAAAGGUGGCCGAAACCAGCCAAAACCGACCAAAAAUGACCAGAUCGAUGCAAACCGCCGCCGCAGGCGGUGGUGCCGUCGACGGAGCACAACAGUGCAGUUGUGCCAGGACUUUGAAAUUGGCCGGAAAGGAUUUUUAAUAUCGAUUUUGAAUUUUUUAGGUAUUUUUAAGUACGUUAAGCGUGUUUUAAUCUCUACAAGAAAAUUCAAAAAACUGGAGGAUCACCAGUAGGCGUAGUAGAAAGUUCGGUGUUUUGAACAAGGAUUCGGGUAAGAA
This 329-nucleotide long non-coding RNA is filed under the name Carica papaya (papaya). RNAcentral describes it as "long non-coding RNA (CPAP_LNC003261)". Lineage: Eukaryota; Viridiplantae; Streptophyta; Magnoliopsida; Brassicales; Caricaceae. The record is from RNAcentral.